UACGUAGGGUGCGAGCGUUGUCCGGAAUUACUGGGCGUAAAGAGCUCGUAGGUGGUUUGUCGCGUUGUCCGUGAAAACUCACAGCUUAACUGUGGGCGUGCGGGCGAUACGGGCAGACUGGAGUACUGCAGGGGAGACUGGAAUUCCUGGUGUAGCGGUGGAAUGCGCAGAUAUCAGGAGGAACACCGGUGGCGAAGGCGGGUCUCUGGGCAGUAACUGACGCUGAGGCGCGAAAGCUAGGGGAGCAAACGGG
This 253-nucleotide ribosomal RNA is filed under the name uncultured bacterium. RNAcentral's name for it is "partial 16S ribosomal RNA". It matches the Rfam family "Bacterial small subunit ribosomal RNA", at positions 524 to 776 of the family's 1533-position model. The record is from RNAcentral.